RNAcentral lists this ribosomal RNA (373 nucleotides) under uncultured bacterium. RNAcentral describes it as "bacterial SSU rRNA". It matches the Rfam family "Bacterial small subunit ribosomal RNA", at positions 523 to 898 of the family's 1533-position model. The record is from RNAcentral.
AUACGUAGGGGGCGAGCGUUGUCCGGAAUCACUGGGCGUAAAGGGUGCGUAGGCGGUAAGUUAAGUCAGAUGUGAAAGUCCAGGGCUCAACCCUGGAAUUGCAUUUGAAACUGACAUACUUGAGUGCAGGAGAGGAGAGCGGAAUUCCUAGUGUAGCGGUGAAAUGCGUAGAUAUUAGGAAGAACACCAGUGGCGAAGGCGGCUCUCUGGACUGUAACUGACGCUGAGGCACGAAAGCGUGGGUAGCGAACAGGAUUAGAUACCCUGGUAGUCCACGCCGUAAACGAUGAGUGCUAGGUGUCGGGGGUCGAACCUCGGUGCCGGAGUUAACACAUUAAGCACUCCGCCUGGGGAGUACGGUCGCAAGACUUAA